AGGACGAACGCUGGCGGCGUGCUUAACACAUGCAAGUGGAGCGACGAACCAGGGCUUGCCCUGGGGCAGAGCCGCGAACGGGUGAGUAACACGUGGGUUACCUGCCUCGAUGACCGGGACAACCCGAGGAAACUCGGGCUAAUACCGGAUGUGCCCGCAAGGGGAAAGGAAGCUUCGGCCUCCGCAUCGAGAUGGGCCCGCGGCCCAUUAGCUUGUUGGUGAGGUAAAGGCUCACCAAGGCUUCGAUGGGUAGCUGGUCUGAGAGGACGAUCAGCCACACUGGGACUGAGACACGGCCCAGACUCCUACGGGAGGCAGCAGUGGGGAAUCUUGCGCAAUGCGCGAAAGCGUGACGCAGCAACGCCGCGUGGGGGAAGAAGGUCGUUCGGGUUGUAAACCUCUUUCGAGCAGGGACGAUUGUGACGGUACCUGCAGAAGAAGCUCCGGCCAACUACGCGCCAGCAGCCGC
Molecule: ribosomal RNA, 469 nt
Filed under: uncultured bacterium
Lineage: Bacteria
Description: SSU rRNA
Rfam family: Bacterial small subunit ribosomal RNA
Source: RNAcentral